UACGUAGGGUGCAAGCGUUUGUCCGGAAUUAUUGGGCGUAAAGAGCUCGUAGGCGGUCUGUCACGUCGGCUGUGAAAUCCCGAGGCUCAACCUCGGGUCUGCAGUCGAUACGGGCAAACUAGAGUAUUGCAGGGGAGACUGGAAUUCCUGGUGUAGCGGUGAAAUGCGCAGAUAUCAGGAGGAACACCGGUGGCGAAGGCGGGUCUCUGGGCAACAACUGACGCUGAGGAGCGAAAGCGUGGGGAGCGAACAGG
This 254-nucleotide ribosomal RNA is filed under the name uncultured bacterium. RNAcentral's name for it is "partial 16S ribosomal RNA". It matches the Rfam family "Bacterial small subunit ribosomal RNA", at positions 524 to 776 of the family's 1533-position model. The record is from RNAcentral.